Cavia porcellus (domestic guinea pig) is the source of this 1849-nucleotide long non-coding RNA. RefSeq lists it as uncharacterized. The record is from RefSeq and is a predicted model, not a curated record. The transcript is spliced from 2 exons. Lineage: Eukaryota; Metazoa; Chordata; Mammalia; Rodentia; Caviidae.
GUCAGAACAACUGUGGGAGGGGAGGGGGUGCUGGGGCUGCCCUGUGUUUCCCACCACCUUCCUCACCCCGUUUCCUUAGCCACAGGGCACCCCCACCCCCUCAGGGCUCCCCAGGGCUCAAAGGGCCUGGGGCAGCAGGUUGCUGGGCGACGCUGUGGUUGCCAGUGGAUACAUUCCCAUGGGCAUGUGCACACACACACACAGUCUGCACCCUGCUCCUCUUCACUGAAUGAGGCCACCCACACUCAGGGCAGAAGGCUAAGGUGAGUCUACACGUUCCUGUCCUGCAAAGGUCUGGCAUAGCAAGCGGCACCUUCCAAGGGACCCCAGUAAGCUGAGGCACUGAGGAGCUCAGUGACUUGCACAAGUUUUACUGCUGGAAAGCGGUAGAACUGGAAUGGAACUGCUCUACCUGCUCGACACCCAUCCCUGCUGCUCUUCAGUGCCACCCCGAGAGAACCUGCAGGGACUGUUCCGUGUCUGGGCUGCAUCUCCCAGCUGUAAAAGAGGCAGCUUCUGAGCAGGGAGCAGUGCCUGCCCUGGGUACAGCUCAGCUGGGUGCGGGCCCAAGAGCCACAGCCCCGCCCAGUGUCCGGGAGAGGCCCUGGCACUGCCUGUGGUCUGGCCAGGGCCAGCAGGGUGAGUCAGGCAAGCCAGGCAGCCCUCUGGGGCUCUUCGGGGGCUCUUCACAGAAGGACCGACUCCAGGCUGCAUCUGUCCCUCAUGCAGAGGCCACGUGGGAAACAGGAAAACCAAGAUUGCCAAGAUAAACCAGGAGUGCUGGGGGAAUUGCAUCCCUGCUUCCAUGGAGGAGAUGGUCCCCAACUGUGGGUGUUGCUGUGCCUGGGUGUGUCAGUCUGUGGGUGUGUUUGUAUGGAUUCCACCUCAGCACAGAAUUCCUCCUCUUCCUCCAACCACAAAAUCCCCAGAGAGCUGGCAUUUGGGGACAAUCCACAGUGGCUUUAGUGGUUGACCAUGGCUGAGAACAUUUUGGGAAUUCCUGUUCCUUUGUGACCUUAAUCAGAGUUUGUCCUGUUUUGCCUGUGAUCGGGCAAUAAAUUUUCCCACUAAGCACAAGGCCUCAUGUUUUGACCCAAACUCAGCAGCUCCUCAUCCUCAGGACAGUGUCCCGCCAGGAAGGGUGUCUCAGCCACAUCUGCAGAGAUCAGGAGGAGGAAUGAGCCGAAGUGACAUCUGCCAGAGGGGAGACAGCCCAGGGUCUGUGACCACCUGCCAAUGCCUGCCAAGUCUCAGAGAUCACACUAGGAAAACCCUUGUUAGCAAAGAAGAGAGAAAAAGUCACUGCAGGGCAUGCGCCAUGUGAGGAGGUGGAGGGCGGCCUCCAGACCCAUCUCAGCCUUUAUCACCCCCGCUUCAGGCCUUAGACUAGGGCUCACUGUCCAAAGCCACCAAAAUAUCCAGUAAGGAAGCAAGGCAUAUCCGUCAAUCAUGGUCACCCAAUGAAGAUGAGAUUCCAAAAAAUGUUGAGGUCCCCAAAGACCUUGGCAUGGACUUACUGGCAUGCAGACCGGUAUUCAGAACACACAAAUCCGUAGACGCCAGAAGCAGAUGGGUGGUUUGGCUGGGACAAGGGAGGGAAGGGUGUCCAUGCUGGCAGGCACAGGAUUUCUUUCAGGGACACUGAAACUACUCUGGAAUUAGAUGACAACGGUGUGUCACAACUUAGGGAGCACGGAAGGGUGUCAGGGGACUGGCCUCCCAGACACAGUGCUCGGGGCAGGAGGCUGAGGCCAGCCCGGUGUGGUCUGAGCUUCACCUUGGGGAUCUGUCUCCAACUUAGAAUUUAAAUUUAAAAAUUUAAAAUUUUUUAAAUAAAAAUUAAAAACCA